This 582-nucleotide ribosomal RNA is filed under the name Bacillus subtilis. RNAcentral's name for it is "bacterial SSU rRNA". It matches the Rfam family "Bacterial small subunit ribosomal RNA", at positions 78 to 636 of the family's 1533-position model. Lineage: Bacteria; Bacillati; Bacillota; Bacilli; Caryophanales; Bacillaceae. The record is from RNAcentral.
UCUUGAUACUGACCACUCACCAGCGGCGGAGGGUGAGUAACACGUGGGUAACCUGCCUGUAAGACUGGGAUAACUCCGGGAAACCGGGGCUAAUWCCGGAUGCUURUUUGAACCGCAUGGUUCAAAYAUAAAAGGUGGCUUCGGCUACCACUUACAGAUGGACCCGCGGCGCAUUAGCUAGUUGGUGAGGUAACGGCUCACCAAGGCAACGAUGCGUAGCCGACCUGAGAGGGUGAUCGGCCACACUGGGACUGAGACACGGCCCAGACUCCUACGGGAGGCAGCAGUAGGGAAUCUUCCGCAAUGGACGAAAGUCUGACGGAGCAACGCCGCGUGAGUGAUGAAGGUUUUCGGAUCGUAAAGCUCUGUUGUUAGGGAAGAACAAGUACCGUUCGAAUAGGGCGGUACCUUGACGGUACCUAACCAGAAAGCCACGGCUAACUACGUGCCAGCAGCCGCGGUAAUACGUAGGUGGCAAGCGUUGUCCGGAAUUAUUGGGCGUAAAGGGCUCGCAGGCGGUUUCUUAAGUCWGAUCGUUSAAUAAAGCCSMYGGCUCAACCGGGGAGGGUCAUUGGAAACUGG